UACGGGGGGAGCAAGCGUUGUUCGGAUUUACUGGGCGUAAAGGGCGCGUAGGCGGCCACCGCAAGUCGACUGUGAAAUCUCCGGGCUUAACUCGGAAAGGUCAGCCGAUACUGCGGGGCUAGAGUGCAGAAGGGGCAACUGGAAUUCUUGGUGUAGCGGUGAAAUGCGUAGAUAUCAAGAGGAACACCUGCGGCGAAGGCGGGUUGCUGGGCCGACACUGACGCUGAGGCGCGAAAGCCAGGGGAGCGAACGGG
Molecule: ribosomal RNA, 254 nt
Filed under: uncultured bacterium
Lineage: Bacteria
Description: partial 16S ribosomal RNA
Rfam family: Bacterial small subunit ribosomal RNA
Source: RNAcentral